AAUCAACGCUGGCGGCGUGCCUAACACAUGCAAGUCGAACGCGAAAGUCCCGCAAGGGAUAAGUAGCGUGGCAAACGGGUGAGUAACACGUGGGUGACCUGCCUUCGAGUGGGGGAUAACGUCCCGAAAGGGACGCUAAUACCGCAUGACAUCCUGCCUUUGAACAGGUGGAGAUCAAAGCUGGGGAUCGCAAGACCUAGCGCUGGAAGAGGGGCCCGCGCCUGAUUAGCAGUUGGUGGGUAACGGCUCACCAAGGCAACGAUCAGUAUCCGGCCUGAGAGGGCGGACGGACACACUGGGACUGAGACACGGCCCAGACUCCUACGGGAGGCAGCAGUGGGGAAUUGUUCGCAAUGGGCGCAAGCCUGACGACGCAACGCCGCGUGGAGGAUG
This 393-nucleotide ribosomal RNA is filed under the name uncultured bacterium. RNAcentral describes it as "bacterial SSU rRNA". It matches the Rfam family "Bacterial small subunit ribosomal RNA", at positions 29 to 410 of the family's 1533-position model. The record is from RNAcentral.